UACGGAGGGUGCAAGCGUUAUCCGGAAUCACUGGGUUUAAAGGGCGCGUAGGUGGCUAGAUAAGUCAGAGGUGAAAGUUUGUCGCUUAACGAUAGAACUGCCUUUGAUACUGUUAAGCUUGAAAGUAGGUGAGGUUGGCGGAAUGUGACAUGUAGCGGUGAAAUGCAUAGAUAUGUCAUAGAACACCGAUUGCGAAGGCAGCCGGCUAGCCUGACUCUGACGCUGAGGCGCGAAAGCGUGGGUAGCGAACAGG
This 253-nucleotide ribosomal RNA is filed under the name uncultured bacterium. RNAcentral describes it as "partial 16S ribosomal RNA". It matches the Rfam family "Bacterial small subunit ribosomal RNA", at positions 524 to 776 of the family's 1533-position model. The record is from RNAcentral.